This 758-nucleotide ribosomal RNA is filed under the name uncultured bacterium. Its description in RNAcentral is "bacterial SSU rRNA". It matches the Rfam family "Bacterial small subunit ribosomal RNA", at positions 69 to 848 of the family's 1533-position model. The record is from RNAcentral.
GGAGGGAAAACACAAUGACCCAUUGGCGGACGGGUGAGUAACGCGUAGGGAACCUGGCCCUUACAGGGGGAUAACAGAUGGAAACAACUGCUAAUACCGCAUAAGCGCCCAGCCUCGCAUGAGGCAGAGUGAAAAACUAAGGUGGUAAGGGAUGGCCCUGCGUCCGAUUAGCUAGUUGGUAUGGUAACGGCAUACCAAGGCGACGAUCGGUAGCCGGCCUGAGAGGGUGGACGGCCACAUUGGGACUGAGACACGGCCCAAACUCCUACGGGAGGCAGCAGUGGGGGAUAUUGCACAAUGGGGGAAACCCUGAUGCAGCGACACCGCGUGGGUGAAGAAGCGCUUCGGCGUGUAAAGCCCUAUCAGUGGGGAAGAAAAAGGACGGUACCCAAAGAAGAAGCACCGGCUAAAUACGUGCCAGCAGCCGCGGUAAUACGUAUGGUGCAAGCGUUAUCCGGAAUGACUGGGUGUAAAGGGAGCGUAGACGGUUGUACAAGUCUGAUGUGAAAGCCCACGGCUCAACUGUGGGAGUGCAUUGGAAACUGUAGAACUAGAGUAUCGGAGAGGCAAGUGGAAUUCCUAGUGUAGCGGUGAAAUGCGUAGAUAUUAGGAGGAACACCAGUGGCGAAGGCGGCUUGCUGGACGAAAACUGACGUUGAGGCUCGAAAGCGUGGGGAGCAAACAGGAUUAGAUACCCUGGUAGUCCACGCUGUAAACGAUGAAUACUAGGUGUUGGGGCCCGAAGGGCGUCGGUGCCG